GGCUCGUUGGUCUAGGGGUAUGAUUCCUGCUGUGGGUGCAGGCGGUCCCGGGUUCAAAUCCCGGACGAGCCC
This 72-nucleotide transfer RNA is filed under the name Schistocerca americana (American grasshopper). RNAcentral's name for it is "tRNA-Pro". It matches the Rfam family "tRNA". From Rfam's summary of the family: Transfer RNA (tRNA) molecules are approximately 80 nucleotides in length. Lineage: Eukaryota; Metazoa; Arthropoda; Insecta; Orthoptera; Acrididae. The record is from RNAcentral.